This 253-nucleotide ribosomal RNA is filed under the name uncultured bacterium. RNAcentral describes it as "partial 16S ribosomal RNA". It matches the Rfam family "Bacterial small subunit ribosomal RNA", at positions 524 to 776 of the family's 1533-position model. The record is from RNAcentral.
UACGUAGGGACCAAGCGUUGUUCGGAUUUACUGGGCGUAAAGGGCGCGUAGGCGGCGUGACAAGUCACUUGUGAAAUCUCUGAGCUUAACUCAGAACGGCCAAGUGAAACUGUUGUGCUAGAGUGCAGAAGGGGCAAUCGGAAUUCUUGGUGUAGCGGUGAAAUGCGUAGAUAUCAAGAGGAACACCUGAGGUGAAGACGGGUUGCUGGGCUGACACUGACGCUGAGGCGCGAAAGCCAGGGGAGCGAACAGG